RNAcentral lists this ribosomal RNA (527 nucleotides) under Pseudophilautus wynaadensis. Its description in RNAcentral is "partial 16S ribosomal RNA". It matches the Rfam family "Bacterial large subunit ribosomal RNA", at positions 1850 to 2597 of the family's 2925-position model. Lineage: Eukaryota; Metazoa; Chordata; Amphibia; Anura; Rhacophoridae. The record is from RNAcentral.
AGGUCCAGCCUGCCCAGUGAUAAAUUUAACGGCCGCGGUACCCUAACCGUGCAAAGGUAGCAUAAUCACUUGUUCUUUAAAUAAGGACUUGUAUCAACGGCAUCACGAGGGUUUUACUGUCUCCUCUCUCCAAUCGGUGAAACUGAUCUCCCCAUGAAAAAGUGGGGAUAAACUUAUAAGACGAGAAGACCCCAUGGAGCUUUAAAACCUAUAGCAACCUAGCAAAACAUUUCCAUCUAGCUAUAAAACGAUGCUCAAGGACUUUAGGUUGGGAGGACCACGGAGCACAAGAUAACCUCCGUAAUGAAAAGAAUAAAAUCUUUACCAAAGAGCCACAACUCUAAGAAUUAGAAAACUAACGUACAUGACCCGAUAUCGAUCAAUGAACUAAGUUACCCUGGGGAUAACAGCGCAAUCCACUCUGAGAGUUCAUAUCGACGAGCGGGCUUACGACCUCGAUGUUGGAUCAGGGUAUCCUGGUGGUGCAGCCGCUACCGAAGGUUCGUUUGUUCAACGAUUAAAACCCU